This 253-nucleotide ribosomal RNA is filed under the name uncultured bacterium. RNAcentral's name for it is "partial 16S ribosomal RNA". It matches the Rfam family "Bacterial small subunit ribosomal RNA", at positions 524 to 776 of the family's 1533-position model. The record is from RNAcentral.
GACAGAGGGUGCAAACGUUGCUCGGAAUCACUGGGCGUAAAGGGCGUGUAGGCGGGAAGGAAAGUCGGGCGUGAAAUCCCUGGGCUCAACCCAGGAACUGCACUCGAAACUUCUUUUCUUGAGUGCCGGAGAGGAAAGCGGAAUUCCUGGUGUAGAGGUGAAAUUCGUAGAUAUCAGGAGGAACACCAGUGGCGAAGGCGGCCUUCUGGACGGUAACUGACGCUGAGACGCGAAAGCGUGGGGAGCAAGCAGG